AAAACAAAUGAGGAAGUUUCUAUAGCUCAUUACUAGAGACAUUUCUCUGAUCUGUAGAGCACCCUAAACCAUGAGGAGGGGCCAGAGCACCCUCUCCUGAGUGGGAAGCCAGUUCUACAUGUUGCUUCUGCAACUGGUUUAGCAUUGGUGAUGGCUUUUCUCUUCCCUUGGAAGAGAGAGAGAGAGGAAUCAGUCUGAGUGG
This 202-nucleotide small nucleolar RNA is filed under the name Sorex araneus (European shrew). Its description in RNAcentral is "Small nucleolar RNA U3 (ENSSARG00000017250.1)". It matches the Rfam family "Small nucleolar RNA U3". From Rfam's summary of the family: Small nucleolar RNAs (snoRNAs) are involved in the processing and modification of rRNA in the nucleolus. There are two main classes of snoRNAs: the box C/D class, and the box H/ACA class. The record is from RNAcentral. Lineage: Eukaryota; Metazoa; Chordata; Mammalia; Eulipotyphla; Soricidae.